Molecule: transfer RNA, 72 nt
Filed under: Pochonia chlamydosporia 123
Lineage: Eukaryota; Fungi; Ascomycota; Sordariomycetes; Hypocreales; Clavicipitaceae
Description: tRNA-Pro (CGG) (tRNA-Pro-CGG-1-1)
Rfam family: tRNA
About the family: Transfer RNA (tRNA) molecules are approximately 80 nucleotides in length. Their secondary structure includes four short double-helical elements and three loops (D, anti-codon, and T loops).
Source: RNAcentral
GGUCGAGUGGUCUAGUGGUAUGAUUCCUCUUUCGGGUAGAGGAGGUCCCGGGUUCAAUCCCCGGCUCGACCC